RNAcentral lists this transfer RNA (73 nucleotides) under Stegodyphus mimosarum. It matches the Rfam family "tRNA". From Rfam's summary of the family: Transfer RNA (tRNA) molecules are approximately 80 nucleotides in length. Their secondary structure includes four short double-helical elements and three loops (D, anti-codon, and T loops). Further hydrogen bonds mediate the characteristic L-shaped molecular structure. tRNAs have two regions of fundamental functional importance: the anti-codon, which is responsible for specific mRNA codon recognition, and the 3' end, to which the tRNAs corresponding amino acid is attached (by aminoacyl-tRNA synthetases). tRNAs cope with the degeneracy of the genetic code in two manners: having more than one tRNA (with a specific anti-codon) for a particular amino acid; and 'wobble' base-pairing, i.e. permitting non-standard base-pairing at the 3rd anti-codon position. Lineage: Eukaryota; Metazoa; Arthropoda; Arachnida; Araneae; Eresidae. The record is from Rfam by way of RNAcentral.
GCCUUCGUGGUUUAGUGGUCAACAAGCUCGGCGCGUAUUCGAGAGGUCCGUGGUUCAAAUCCCGGCGAGGGCG